AAAAACAUUGCCUCUCGACUCAACAAUGAGAGGUUCAUCCUGCCCAAUGACAACAUAGUUUAAUGGCCGCGGUACCCUGACCGUGCAAAGGUAGCAUAAUCAUUUGCCCCUUAAUUAGGGGCUAGCAUGAAAGGACACACGAAAGCUUCCCUGUCUCACAAUAACAAAUAAAAAUUAAUCUUCAAGUGAAAAAGCUUGAAUGAAACUGCAGGACAAGAAGACCCCGUUGAGCUUUAUUCUCUAUAGACUAAAUCAAAUAUUAAAUAUAUCAUAAACCUAAAAAGAAUUUAGUUGGGGUGACUAAGGAACACCAAAAACUUCCUUUUAUUAAUUAGGAUUAUUCUCCAUAUAAAUUGACCCAUUACAUAUGAUCAAAAAAAUAAGCUACCACAGGGAUAACAGGCUAAUCUUUCUCAAGAGCCCAAAUUGUCAGAAAGGAUUGGCACCUCGAUGUUGGCUUAGGGGCCCCUAAUGGUGCAGAAGCCAUAAAUGGUAGGUUUGUUCAACC
This 508-nucleotide ribosomal RNA is filed under the name Lamellibrachia sp. 1 VT-2012. RNAcentral's name for it is "partial 16S ribosomal RNA". It matches the Rfam family "Bacterial large subunit ribosomal RNA", at positions 1809 to 2586 of the family's 2925-position model. Lineage: Eukaryota; Metazoa; Annelida; Polychaeta; Sabellida; Siboglinidae. The record is from RNAcentral.